UGCCCCCCUGGCAAUGGACAAAGAGACACCUUGCUGGUAGUAUUGCUCUUAUAUCAGUUAGGGGCAGAGCAGAUGGCAGUCCUUUGUUCAUCUUAGCUUGAUGCCUGUCCUGGUGGCAAAAGCCGUUUUAUAUCUAAGACACAUAA
Molecule: small nucleolar RNA, 146 nt
Organism: Psammomys obesus (fat sand rat)
Lineage: Eukaryota; Metazoa; Chordata; Mammalia; Rodentia; Muridae
Product: small nucleolar RNA SNORA48
Exons: 1
Source: RefSeq, a predicted model, not a curated record